UGAUGGAUGGACCGGAAGGCCAAAUGUGAAAGUGAAGUAGGCCAUUGGUGGAUGCUGGGAGAGGAAUGGUGCAAACCAAGAAAUUUAAAAGGGAAAAAAAUCUGGCUGGUCUCCAGACAGGGGCAGAAGUAUUACAGAGAAUCCAAGAAGUAAGAAGGAGCCACUACAGUUCUCACAGCUGGUCUGAGGAUGACGAAAAGCACUUGCCAUUAAUGGAGAACGUGAUGGCACAUAAUCAAAACAAAUGAGACAGUGGCAGAAAGAUGGAAGCAGGAAAAAAGGGGAAGCUGAAACAAAUGUCUACCUUGCAAUGUGGCAAUUCCACAGCUCCUGUUGUUUACUAGUGAAUAGAUCCCUACUCAGAGUGAUUGGGAGGCACUACCUUGGGUUUUACAGGUGUGUCAAACUAGCAACCCUUGGGCUGGAUGCAUCAUGCGCAGGCCACGCUCACCCAAGCUCCGCAAAGGCAAAAAUGUUGUGAUACAUCACAUGACAUCACGUGACACGAUCGAGUUUGACACCCAUGAUCUAUUUAUUUGUUUGUUUGUUUUAGGUUUAUGGACCGUUCCGAUCAAUAGAUUCUUCCCAAAAGAAAUCAAUAUGCCCAAUGCACCUAUCUCCAUCCAGAGGUGUUCAUUAGCUAAUCAAAAUGAUGACACAUGUAUCAUGCUGCCAUUUUGUGCAUGAAAUAGUUAAUACCAGUUGCUUUAACAUAAUCAUGUUAUUCUCACAAUAACAUCAUGUGCUAUGUUGUUACCUCCCCACUGCCUAUACCCCUCCCUUCAUGUAAUAGCUACAUGCCCUUUUUUUCCUUCUAUUGUUUGAGUUGACUAAACAAAAAGGCAAGUAUGCAGGAAUCUCAUAUUUAAUGUGACCUUUAGUAUCUGAGCAAAAUCCAGUCUGUUCCUGCCUUCAGAACCCAAUUUACCAUCAUGUUUUUCACGGAAGAAGUAGCAUACAAACCGGUAUGACUCGAUAUAUUUUUAAAUAAACCGUGCUGUGUGUUUUGAGUAUGGUUCUUGU
Molecule: non-coding RNA, 1023 nt
Organism: Pantherophis guttatus
Lineage: Eukaryota; Metazoa; Chordata; Lepidosauria; Squamata; Colubridae
Source: RefSeq, a predicted model, not a curated record